AGUGAACGCUGGCGGUAGGUCUAACACAUGCAAGUCGAACGGCAGCACAGUAAGAGCUUGCUCUUACGGGAGGCGAGUGGCGUACGGGUGAGGAAUACACCGGAAUCUACUUUUUCGUGGGGGAUAACGUAGGGAAACUUACGCUAAUACCGCAUACGACCUACGGGUGAAAGCAGGGGAUCUUCGGACCUUGCGCGAUUGAAUGAGCCGAUGUCGGAUUAGCUAGUUGGCGGGGUAAAGGCCCACCAAGGCGACGAUCCGUAGCUGGUCUGAGAGAAUGAUCAGCCACACUGGAACUGAGACCCGGUCCAGACUCCUACGGGGGGCAGCAGUGGGGAAUAUUGGGCAAUGGGCGCAAGCCUGAUCCAGCCAUACCGCGUGGGUGAAGAAGGCCUUCGGGUUGUAGAGCCCUUUUGUGGGGAAAGAAGAGCAGCAGGUUAAUACCCCGCUGUUCUGGCGGUACCCAAAGGGUAAGCACCGGCUAACGUCGUG
Molecule: ribosomal RNA, 492 nt
Filed under: uncultured bacterium
Lineage: Bacteria
Description: partial 16S ribosomal RNA
Rfam family: Bacterial small subunit ribosomal RNA
Source: RNAcentral